UACAGAGGGUGCAAGCGUUUGUUCGGAAUUAUUGGGCGUAAAGCGCGUGUAGGCGGCUUAGCAAGUCGGGCGUGAAAGCCCUCGGCUCAACCGAGGAAGUGCACCCGAAACUGCUGAGCUUGAGUGCCGGAGAGGAUGGCGGAAUUCCCGGUGUAGAGGUGAAAUUCGUAGAUAUCGGGAGGAACACCAGUGGCGAAGGCGGCGACCUGGGCCAAUACUGAACGCUGAGGUGGCGAAAAGCGUGGGGAGCAAACAGG
Molecule: ribosomal RNA, 257 nt
Filed under: uncultured bacterium
Lineage: Bacteria
Description: partial 16S ribosomal RNA
Rfam family: Bacterial small subunit ribosomal RNA
Source: RNAcentral